RNAcentral lists this ribosomal RNA (253 nucleotides) under uncultured bacterium. RNAcentral's name for it is "partial 16S ribosomal RNA". It matches the Rfam family "Bacterial small subunit ribosomal RNA", at positions 524 to 776 of the family's 1533-position model. The record is from RNAcentral.
AACGUAGGAGACAAACGUUAUCCGGAGUUACUGGGCGUAAAGGGCGUGUAGGCGGUUUGUUAAGUUUGGCGUGAAAGCUCUCGGCUAAACCGGGAGAGGUCGUUGGAUACUGGCAAACUAGAGGAUGGUAGAGGCGUGUGGAAUUCCGGGUGUAGUGGUGAAAUGCGUAGAGAUCCGGAGGAACACCAGUGGCGAAGGCGACACGCUGGGCCAUACCUGACGCUAAAGCGCGACAGCAUGGGGAGCAAACGGG